UUAAGUUCAGCGGGUAUCCCUACCUGAUCCGAGGUCAACCAUAGAAAAUUAGGGGUUGUUGGCGGGCGACCGCCACGACCCAACAGCGAGAAGAAUGACUACGCUGAGGGGCGCGGGGACGCUGCCACUGUUUUUGAGGCCCGCCGUCGCCGGCGCGGCCCAAGACAAGCAGAGCUUGAGGGUUGAAAUGACGCUCGAAC
This 200-nucleotide unclassified non-coding RNA is filed under the name Helotiales sp. RNAcentral's name for it is "partial internal transcribed spacer 2". Lineage: Eukaryota; Fungi; Ascomycota; Leotiomycetes; Helotiales. The record is from RNAcentral.